This 964-nucleotide ribosomal RNA is filed under the name Suncus montanus. Its description in RNAcentral is "partial 16S ribosomal RNA". It matches the Rfam family "Bacterial large subunit ribosomal RNA", at positions 958 to 2578 of the family's 2925-position model. The record is from RNAcentral. Lineage: Eukaryota; Metazoa; Chordata; Mammalia; Eulipotyphla; Soricidae.
AAAUUUUAAUGUAAAUUUAAAUGUUAAUCUGUAGAGGUACAGCUCUACAGAAUAAGACUACAACUUUAAUUAGAGAGUAAAUUUUUGUAACAACCAUAGUUGGCCUAAAAGCAGCCACCAAUUAAGAAAGCGUUCAAGCUCAACAAUUAAAUCAAUAUUUAAUUUAAAAAAUUAUAUUAACCCCUAAUUUAAUUACUGGGUUAUUCUACUAAAUGUAGAAGAAAUACUGUUAAUAUGAGUAACAAGAUUUUAAAUCUCCAAACACACGUGUAUAUCAGCCCGAAUACCUACUGAUAAUUAACAAUUAAAUAAACCUACAUAUAAAUUAAACUAUUUUUUAUUAUAUUGUUAAUCCAACACCGGUGUGUAUAAUAAGGAAAGAUUAAAAAAAGUAAAAGGAACUCGGCAAACAUAAACCCCGCCUGUUUACCAAAAACAUCACCUCUAGCAUUUUCAGUAUUAGAGGCACUGCCUGCCCAGUGACAUUAGUUAAACGGCCGCGGUAUCCUGACCGUGCAAAGGUAGCAUAAUCAUUUGUUCCUUAAUUAGGGACUUGUAUGAAUGGCCUCACGAGGGUUUAACUGUCUCUUACUUUUAAUCAGUGAAAUUGACCUUCCCGUGAAGAGGCGGGAAUACUAAAAUAAGACGAGAAGACCCUAUGGAGCUUAAAUUAAAUUAUCCAACAAACUUAACUUAAAUCCAACAGGGAUAAAUAUGAUUUAACUGGGUAAUAAAUUUUGGUUGGGGUGACCUCGGAGCAUAACUCAACCUCCGAGCAGUUAAAACUCAGACUUACCCGUCAAAGUUGUACUAUCAAUUGAUCCAAUCUUAUUGAUCAACGGAACAAGUUACCCUAGGGAUAACAGCGCAAUCCUAUUUGAGAGUUCAUAUCGACAAUAGGGUUUACGACCUCGAUGUUGGAUCAGGACACCCAAAUGGUGCAGCAGCUAUUAAGGGUUCGUUU